RNAcentral lists this ribosomal RNA (253 nucleotides) under uncultured bacterium. RNAcentral's name for it is "partial 16S ribosomal RNA". It matches the Rfam family "Bacterial small subunit ribosomal RNA", at positions 524 to 776 of the family's 1533-position model. The record is from RNAcentral.
UACGAAGGGGGCUAGCGUUGCUCGGAAUCACUGGGCGUAAAGGGCUCGUAGGUGGCCAACUAAGUCAGACGUGAAAUCCCUCAGCUUAACUGGGGAACUGCGUCUGAUACUGGAUGGCUUGAGUUUGGGAGAGGGAUGCGGAAUUCCAGGUGUAGCGGUGAAAUGCGUAGAUAUCUGGAGGAACACCGGUGGCGAAGGCGGUUCUCUGGGAAUGACCUGACGCUGAGGAGCGAAAGUGUGGGGAGCGAACAGG